ACGGGAGGCAGCAGUGGGGAAUAUUGGGCAAUGGGCGAAAGCCUGACCCAGCGACGCCGCGUGAGGGAAGAAGAUCUUCGGAUUGUAAACCUUAGUCAACAGGGACGAAGAAAGUGUCGGUACCUGUGGAGGAAGCCACGGCUACUACGUGCCAGCAGCCGCGGUAAUACGUAGGUGGCGAGCGUUAUCCGGAAUUACUGGGUGUAAAGGGAGCGCAGGCGGGACAGCAAGUCAGCGGUGAAAUGUAUGGGCUCAACCCAUGAACUGCCGUUGAAACUGUUGUUCUUGAGUGGAGUAGAGGUAGGCGGAAUUCCGAGUGUAGCGGUGAAAUGCGUAGAUAUUCGGAGGAACACCAGUGGCGAAGGCGGCCUACUGGGCUCUAACUGACGCUGAGGCUCGAAAGUGUGGGGAGCAAACAGGAUUAGAUACCCUGGUA
This is a ribosomal RNA of 436 nucleotides. It matches the Rfam family "Bacterial small subunit ribosomal RNA", at positions 341 to 792 of the family's 1533-position model.